GGCCUUUUGAAAAUUUAUAUAAAAGGUUGGGCCUGCCCGGUGAUCUGAAAUGGUUUAACGGCUGCGAUUGAAACCGUACUAAGGUAGCAUAAUAAUUUGCCCUUUAAUUGGGGGAGAGAAUGAAUGGUUUGACGGUAAAAAAGCUGUUUUAAAAAUAAUUAAGGAAGUUAACUUUUAAGUGAAAAGGCUUAAGUUUUUAUAAAAGACGAGAAGACCCCGUCGAGCUUAAUUAGGAUAGCUUUAUUUAAAAGAUAUCUAAAAUUUUAUUGGGGCAAUAGAAAAUGAAAAGAAUCAUUUUUUAUAGAAUAAGGAUCCAGUUUUGACUGAAAAAAGCAAAAGCUACCGCGGGGAUAACAGGGUAAUUUUUUCUGAGAGUUCAUAUUUAAGAGAAAGUUUGCUACCUCGAUGUUGGAUUAAAAUUUCUUUAUGCUUGC
RNAcentral lists this ribosomal RNA (434 nucleotides) under Corbicula japonica. Its description in RNAcentral is "partial 16S ribosomal RNA". It matches the Rfam family "Bacterial large subunit ribosomal RNA", at positions 1817 to 2557 of the family's 2925-position model. The record is from RNAcentral. Lineage: Eukaryota; Metazoa; Mollusca; Bivalvia; Venerida; Cyrenidae.